This is a non-coding RNA of Xiphophorus maculatus (southern platyfish), 110 nucleotides long. NCBI's taxonomy places the organism in Eukaryota, Metazoa, Chordata, Actinopteri, Cyprinodontiformes, Poeciliidae. The record is from Rfam.
GUCAGGAUGGCCGAGUGGUCUAAGGCGCCAGACUCAAGGAUCAAACCUUCCGUAUCAACGGGACUUCUGGUCUCCGAAUGGAGGCGUGGGUUCGAAUCCCACUUCUGACA